RNAcentral lists this ribosomal RNA (452 nucleotides) under Bacillus sp. 3AS12. RNAcentral describes it as "bacterial SSU rRNA". It matches the Rfam family "Bacterial small subunit ribosomal RNA", at positions 41 to 475 of the family's 1533-position model. Lineage: Bacteria; Bacillati; Bacillota; Bacilli; Caryophanales; Bacillaceae. The record is from RNAcentral.
GGGGUGCCUAAUACAUGCAAGUCGAGCGGACAGAUGGGAGCUUGCUCCCUGAUGUUAGCGGCGGACGGGUGAGUAACACGUGGGUAACCUGCCUGUAAGACUGGGAUAACUCCGGGAAACCGGGGCUAAUACCGGAUGCUUGUUUGAACCGCAUGGUUCAAACAUAAAAGGUGGCUUCGGCUACCACUUACAGAUGGACCCGCGGCGCAUUAGCUAGUUGGUGAGGUAAUGGCUCACCAAGGCAACGAUGCGUAGCCGACCUGAGAGGGUGAUCGGCCACACUGGGACUGAGACACCGCCCAGACUCCUACGGGAGGCAGCAGUAGGGAAUCUUCCGCAAUGGACGAAAGUCUGACNGAACAACGCCGCGUGAGUGAUGAAGGGUUUCCGAACGCCAAACUCUGUUGUACGGGAAGAAAAAACGCCGUUCCACUACGUCGCCAUCGUGACGG